Molecule: ribosomal RNA, 468 nt
Filed under: uncultured bacterium
Lineage: Bacteria
Description: partial 16S ribosomal RNA
Rfam family: Bacterial small subunit ribosomal RNA
Source: RNAcentral
GACGAACGCUGGCGGCGUGCUUAACACAUGCAAGUCGAACGGAAAGGCCCUGCUUUUGUGGGGUGCUCGAGUGGCGAACGGGUGAGUAACACGUGAGUAACCUGCCCUUGACUUUGGGAUAACUUCAGGAAACUGGGGCUAAUACCGGAUAGGAGCUCCUGCUGCAUGGUGGGGGUUGGAAAGUUUCGGCGGUUGGGGAUGGACUCGCGGCUUAUCAGCUUGUUGGUGGGGUAGUGGCUUACCAAGGCUUUGACGGGUAGCCGGCCUGAGAGGGUGACCGGCCACAUUGGGACUGAGAGAGGGCCCAGACUCCUACGGGAGGCAGCAGUGGGGAACAUGGCACAAUGGGCGGAAGCCUGAUGCAGCAACGCCGCGUGCGGGAUGACGGCCUUCGGGUUGUAAACCGCUUUCGCCUGUGACGAAGCGUGAGUGACGGUAAUGGGUAAAGAAGCACCGGCUAACUACGUG